GGAUAGCCCUGAGAAAUUGGGAAUAAUACCUCAUAACAUUAUAAUGCAGCAUUGUAUAAUAAUUAAAGUUCCGGCGGUUAAAGAUGGGCAUGCGUAACAUUAGCUAGAUGGUAAGGUAACGGCUUACCAUGGCAACGAUGUUUAGGGGUUCUGAGAGGAUUAUCCCCCACACUGGUACUGAGACACGGACCAGACUCCUACGGGAGGCAGCAGUGAGGANUAUUGGNCAAUGGACGCAANUCUGACCCANCCCAUGCCCGNUGCAGGAANACGGCCCUAUGGGUUGUNAACUGCUUUUUUUUNCCNAAGAAACCCCAGACGUGCUUUGUCUGACGGUANUUUAUGAANNAAGGGAUCGG
RNAcentral lists this ribosomal RNA (359 nucleotides) under uncultured bacterium. Its description in RNAcentral is "partial 16S ribosomal RNA". It matches the Rfam family "Bacterial small subunit ribosomal RNA", at positions 141 to 496 of the family's 1533-position model. The record is from RNAcentral.